Molecule: ribosomal RNA, 553 nt
Filed under: uncultured Geobacteraceae bacterium
Lineage: Bacteria; Pseudomonadati; Thermodesulfobacteriota; Desulfuromonadia; Geobacterales; Geobacteraceae
Description: bacterial SSU rRNA
Rfam family: Bacterial small subunit ribosomal RNA
Source: RNAcentral
GAGUUUGAUCCUGGCUCAGAACGAACGCUGGCGGCGUGCUUAACACAUGCAAGUCGAACGUGAUCCGGAGCUUGCUCCGGUGAAAGUGGCGCACGGGUGAGUAACGCGUGGAUAACCUGCCCUGGUGUCUGGGAUAACAUCUCGAAAGGGGUGCUAAUACCGGAUAAGCCCACGGGCUCUUCGGAGCCUGCGGGAAAAGGUGGCCUCUAUUUAUAAGCUACCGCAUCAAGAUGGGUCCGCGUACCAUUAGCUAGUUGGUGGGGUAAUGGCCUACCAAGGCGACGAUGGUUAGCUGGUCUGAGAGGAUGAUCAGCCACACUGGAACUGAGACACGGUCCAGACUCCUACGGGAGGCAGCAGUGGGGAAUUUUGCGCAAUGGGGGAAACCCUGACGCAGCAACGCCGCGUGAGUGAUGAAGGCUUUCGGGUCGUAAAGCUCUGUCAGAGGGGAAGAAAUGGGUCGUGCUAAUAUCGCGACUUCUUGACGGUACCCUCAAAGGAAGCACCGGCUAACUACGUGCCAGCAGCCGCGGUAAUACAAGGGCGAAWUGSK